GUUGGGUAGGGGAGCGUUCUGUAAGCCUGUGAAGGUGGCCUGUGAGGGUUGCUGGAGGUAUCAGAAGUGCGAAUGCUGACAUAAGUAACGAUAAAGCGGGUGAAAAGCCCGCUCGCCGGAAGACCAAGGGUUCCUGUCCAACGUUAAUCGGGGCAGGGUGAGUCGACCCCUAAGGCGAGGCCGAAAGGCGUAGUCGAUGGGAAACGGGUUAAUAUUCCCGUACUUGGUGUUACUGCGAAGGGGGGACGGAGAAGGCUAUGUUGGCCGGGCGACGGUUGUCCCGGUUUAAGCGUGUAGGUGUGUGUUCCAGGUAAAUCCGGUUCACUUUAACACUGAGGCGUGAUGACGAGGCACUACGGUGCUGAAGCAACAAAUGCCCUGCUUCCAGGAAAAGCCUCUAAGCAUCAGGUAACAUCAAAUCGUACCCCAAACCGACACAGGUGGUCAGGUAGAGAAUACCAAGGCGCUUGAGAGAACUCGGGUGAAGGAACUAGGCAAAAUGGUGCCGUAACUUCGGGAGAAGGCACGCUGAUAUGUAGGUGAAGUGAUUUACUCAUGGAGCUGAAAUCAGUCGAAGAUACCAGCUGGCUGCAACUGUUUAUUAAAAACACAGCACUGUGCAAACACGAAAGUGGACGUAUACGGUGUGACGCCUGCCCGGUGCCGGAAGGUUAAUUGAUGGGGUCAGCGCAAGCGAAGCUCCUGAUCGAAGCCCCGGUAAACGGCGGCCGUAACUAUAACGGUCCUAAGGUAGCGAAAUUCCUUGUCGGGUAAGUUCCGACCUGCACGAAUGGCGUAAUGAUGGCCAGGCUGUCUCCACCCGAGACUCAGUGAAAUUGAACUCGCUGUGAAGAUGCAGUGUACCCGCGGCAAGACGGAAAGACCCCGUGAACCUUUACUAUAGCUUGACACUGAACAUUGAGCCUUGAUGUGUAGGAUAGGUGGGAGGCUUUGAAGCGUGGACGCCAGUCUGCGUGGAGCCGACCUUGAAAUACCACCCUUUAAUGUUUGAUGUUCUAACGUGGACCCGUAAUCCGGGUUGCGGACAGUGUCUGGUGGGUAGUUUGACUGGGGCGGUCUCCUCCUAAAGAGUAACGGAGGAGCACGAAGGUUGGCUAAUCCUGGUCGGACAUCAGGAGGUUAGUGCAAUGGCAUAAGCCAGCUUGACUGCGAGCGUGACGGCGCGAGCAGGUGCGAAAGCAGGUCAUAGUGAUCCGGUGGUUCUGAAUGGAAGGGCCAUCGCUCAACGGAUAAAAGGUACUCCGGGGAUAACAGGCUGAUACCGCCCAAGAGUUCAUAUCGACGGCGGUGUUUGGCACCUCGAUGUCGGCUCAUCACAUCCUGGGGCUGAAGUAGGUCCCAAGGGUAUGGCUGUUCGCCAUUUAAAGUGGUACGCGAGCUGGGUUUAGAACGUCGUGAGACAGUUCGGUCCCUAUCUGCCGUGGGCGCUGGAGAACUGAGGGGGGCUGCUCCUAGUACGAGAGGACCGGAGUGGACGCAUCACUGGUGUUCGGGUUGUCAUGCCAAUGGCACUGCCCGGUAGCUAAAUGCGGAAGAGAUAAGUGCUGAAAGCAUCUAAGCACGAAACUUGCCCCGAGAUGAGUUCUCCCUGAGACUUAGAGUCUCCUGAAGGAACGUUGAAGACGACGACGUUGAUAGGCCGGGUGUGUAAGCGCAGCGAUGCGUUGAGCUAACCGGUACUAAUGAACCGUGAGGCUUAACCUUACAACGCCGAAG
Molecule: ribosomal RNA, 1737 nt
Filed under: Salmonella enterica subsp. enterica serovar Anatum
Lineage: Bacteria; Pseudomonadati; Pseudomonadota; Gammaproteobacteria; Enterobacterales; Enterobacteriaceae
Description: bacterial LSU rRNA
Rfam family: Bacterial large subunit ribosomal RNA
Source: RNAcentral